CACUGAGGUGCGUACAAGCAUGGGUGAGCUAGCUCCUGGAAGAUUACUGUCCAGAAUAUUUACUCAGCAGACUGCAAUAUUAGCCAGCACAGCCAGUUUAAGGACUCUGUGCACUGCAGCAGAGAUUGCAGUGUCAUUGGGCUGGGAUGCUUUAAUGUUCAGUCCUGGAAAUGGGAAUAACUUUAAGUGAUCAUCAGAAAUGUAUCUGCUCUGACUGCUGGCCACUGACUGGUAAAUUGAUUCCUUUCCUGGCUUGCGACAAGUGACCGUAGAGAGUGACUGCACAGAUGAGAGAUAUCUGGAAUGUCAAUUCUCCAGACCUCCUGCCUUCUGAGAGAACCCAUGAUUAAUUUUUUUCUGGAAGAGAG
This 368-nucleotide long non-coding RNA is filed under the name Parus major (Great Tit). Its description in RNAcentral is "lncRNA (ENSPMJG00000005706.1)". The record is from RNAcentral. Lineage: Eukaryota; Metazoa; Chordata; Aves; Passeriformes; Paridae.